GAGAGCGGGGCUGAAAGUGCCGGGGGUAAAUUGUGCCGACGCGAAUAUCUCAAAAACAGAAAGAGAUAGAUAUACGAUCGUAUUGUGUCGCGUAAGGCCUAACAGUCGCGCACACGCGGCUGCCAUUUUAGUUGCGUCAGCGACGCGGACCGAGUCGUACUGCAUGUGAGGGUCCUCCAGCGCCACUAUUGUUUAUAUUUACGCGAGCAAUUAUGAAAGAAAGAAAAUACUUUUGGGCAUGAUACUUCAGAGCACCAUCAGGUAAUCAAGAGCAAGAGACACGUCAGUGCUCUCCGGAACCUAUCCCUUGCUGCAGUUUCCAGCCUCCUCAAUCAGUUGAUAAUAACACAGGAGAUAAAAAUGCAGCAGUUUUCUCACCAGAGCUAAUACUACCCGACUAAUUGGACAUACUAAAGCACGUAAAAGAAAGACAGCUGUUCUUACGGACACUCCAGAGAAAAAUGCUUUAGCAGAAGAACAGGCUAGUAAAAAGAAGAAAAAAGAAAGCGAAACUAAAAAGAAGGUUAAGGGAAAAGGGACGGGAAAAUGCAAGGGAAA
Molecule: long non-coding RNA, 558 nt
Organism: Helicoverpa armigera (cotton bollworm)
Lineage: Eukaryota; Metazoa; Arthropoda; Insecta; Lepidoptera; Noctuidae
Exons: 2
Source: RefSeq, a predicted model, not a curated record